RNAcentral lists this ribosomal RNA (393 nucleotides) under uncultured bacterium. RNAcentral describes it as "partial 16S ribosomal RNA". It matches the Rfam family "Bacterial small subunit ribosomal RNA", at positions 523 to 918 of the family's 1533-position model. The record is from RNAcentral.
AUACGGAGGAUCCGAGCGUUAUCCGGAUUUAUUGGGUUUAAAGGGUGCGCAGGCGGGAGAUUAAGUCGGCGGUGAAAUUUUGCAGCUCAACUGUAAAAGUGCCUUCGAAACUGGGUUCCUUGAGUGUAGAUGAAGGAGGCGGAAUUUGUGGUGUAGCGGUGAAAUGCAUAGAUAUCACGAGGAACUCCGAUUGCGCAGGCAGCUUACUAAACUACUACUGACGCUCAGGCACGAAGGCGUGGGGAUCAAACAGGAUUAGAUACCCUGGUAGUCCACGCAGUAAACGAUGAUUACUAGCUGUUUGCGAUACAAUGUAAGCGGCUGAGCGAAAGCGUUAAGUGAUCCACCUGGGGAGUACGUCCACAAGAAUGAAACUCAAAUGAAUUGACGGGG